UACGGAGGUCUCAACCGUUGUUCGGAUUCAUUGGGCGUAAAGGGUGCGUAGGCGGUCUGGCAAGUCGGAUGUGAAAUCUCAGGGCUCAACCCUGAAACUGCAUUCGAUACUGCUAGGCUUGAGUACUGGAGGGGAGACUGGAAUUUACGGUGUAGCAGUGAAAUGCGUAGAUAUCGUAAGGAAGACCAGUGGCGAAGGCGAGUCUCUGGACAGUUACUGACGCUGAGGCACGAAGGCCAGGGGAGCAAACGGG
Molecule: ribosomal RNA, 253 nt
Filed under: uncultured bacterium
Lineage: Bacteria
Description: partial 16S ribosomal RNA
Rfam family: Bacterial small subunit ribosomal RNA
Source: RNAcentral